UGAACGCUAGCUACAGGCUUAACACAUGCAAGUCGAGGGGCAUCAGGAAUCUAGCUUGCUAGGUUGCUGGCGACCGGCGCACGGGUGAGUAACGCGUAUCCAACUUCCCUAGUAGGGCAUAGCCCGGCGAAAGUCGGAUUAAUACCCUAUGUUCUUUACGGCAGACAUCUAAUGUAAAGCAAAGAUUCAUCGCUAAGGGAUGGGGAUGCGUCCGAUUAGGUAGUCGGCGGGGUAACGGCCCACCGAGCCUUCGAUCGGUAGGGGUUCUGAGAGGAAGGUCCCCCACAUUGGAACUGAGACACGGUCCAAACUCCUACGGGAGGCAGCAGUGAGGAAUAUUGGUCAAUGGACGUAGGUCUGAACCAGCCAAGUAAGCGUGCAGGAUGACGGCCCUAUGGGUUGUAAACUGCUUUUGCCGGGGAAUAAAGUGCGGUACGUGUGCCGUUUUGUAUGUACCCGGAGAAUAAGGACCGGCUAAUUCCGUGCCAGCCGCCGC
This 496-nucleotide ribosomal RNA is filed under the name uncultured bacterium. Its description in RNAcentral is "bacterial SSU rRNA". It matches the Rfam family "Bacterial small subunit ribosomal RNA", at positions 30 to 518 of the family's 1533-position model. The record is from RNAcentral.